GUGGUGCCCUCGUGCCAGCCGCAGAUAUGAGGCGGCAUACGCCGCAUGGCACGCGCCCUCGCUCGCGCCUCUCAUCUGCUGCCUGCAGUAGGGUGUGGUCGGGUUGCAGUAGGGCGGGAAAGUGGUCGCUGCUGCCGCCCGGCCGCAUGGCCUCGCGCAUGUCGACUGGCAGGCGGCAGGGGAUCUGGGCGGCGGAAAGGAAAGGAAAGGAAAGGGAAGGGGAAGGGAGGAGGCGGGGCGCAGGGGGAGGGGCUUGGCACAGUUUGGCAGGUGCAUGGGACGCCGUGGUGGGUUGGCUGGGCAAGUUUCACAACCGAACACUGCAGGCCCAGUCGCAGACUGAGACGUGCUUCCUGCUGCCACAUCAGAGGCAAAACCCUCAUCCAGAGGCGCUGGGCUCAGCCUUCGACCUUGGCCCCUUGCAACUCACACCGCCUCUCUUUCCCUGGAUUCCCCGUAUUGACCAGUGCCCGCUGCCCCUCUCUCACCUUUGUGCGUGUCCCCCAUCCAUUCGCCUCCCUCCCUCUCUCCCUCUGUCCCUCCCUCCCUCCCUCCCCCCAUGUAUCCCCACGCUCGCUCACCCCCGGGAACACGUACUGGCGGCCCAGCAGUGGAGCCAUGACGUCAGCCACGUACGAUAGCUCCCGACCCGCAGCGUCGCCUGAGGCGGCCGCGGAGGCAAGUUGUUUCGUUGUGUGUUGUUGUGGGGUUGUUGGUGCUGGAUGUUGCAUUUUUGUUUGGGUUUGGUGUUGAUGUGGGAAGGAAACGGUGCGCAUGCAUGUGCAGGGGAUGGGGGUUACGCGGUAGGAGAGGGGCCAGCAGGGCCGCGGCACGGAGCCGUCGUGUGCUGCCCUGCCACAUACACAGCCGGGCCCGGCCUGACCCUGGGCCUGACCCACAUCCGCCCACUUGCGUCAGACAGCUCGACACGCUCCGCAGCUGUGAAAGUGCACCCAUCCAUGCACGCAGCCACGGUCCCACACGCCUACGCACCCGGCUUGUGGACCAGCACGCCCUCCCACAGCGCGAUGUCCACCUCUGAGGCGGCGUGCGCGGUGCCCUUGCG
This 1066-nucleotide long non-coding RNA is filed under the name Chlamydomonas reinhardtii. RNAcentral describes it as "long non-coding RNA (CREI_LNC000394)". The record is from RNAcentral. Lineage: Eukaryota; Viridiplantae; Chlorophyta; Chlorophyceae; Chlamydomonadales; Chlamydomonadaceae.